Molecule: ribosomal RNA, 497 nt
Filed under: uncultured bacterium
Lineage: Bacteria
Description: partial 16S ribosomal RNA
Rfam family: Bacterial small subunit ribosomal RNA
Source: RNAcentral
GAUGAACGCUGGCGGCGUGCCUAAUACAUGCAAGUCGAGCGAACAGACGAGAAGCUUGCUCCUCUGACGUUAGCGACGGACGGGUGAGUAACACGUGGAUAACCUACCUAUAAGACUGGGAUAACUUCGGGAAACCGGAGCUAAUACCGGAUAAUAUAUUGAACCGCAUGGUUCAAUAGUGAAAGACGGUUUUGCUGUCACUUAUAGAUGGAUCCGCGCCGCAUUAGCUAGUUGGUAAGGUAACGGCUUACCAAGGCAACGAUGCCUAUCCGACCUGAGAGGGGGAUCCGCCACAACGGAACUUAGACACCGUCCAGAAUCCGUAGGGAGGGAGGCGGUGGGAAUUUUUCCGAAUUGGGCGAAGCCUGAACGGGGCAAGGCGGCGGGAUGAAGAAGGUCUUCGGGUUCGAAAAACUCUGUAUUUGGGAAGAAAAAAAGGUGAAGUAAACGAUGAAAUUCUGGAGGUAACCAAAUAAGAAAGCCAGGGUAACUUCGGU